Long non-coding RNA from Sinocyclocheilus anshuiensis, 469 nucleotides. The record is from Ensembl. NCBI's taxonomy places the organism in Eukaryota, Metazoa, Chordata, Actinopteri, Cypriniformes, Cyprinidae.
CUUCAGUCUGUGUGGAUGCAGUAUUACAGAGAAACAGUGUCUCAUCUUGACUUCAGCUCUGUUCAAACCUUUCACACCUGAGAGAACUGAACCUCAGCGAGAAUCAAAUAGAAAACACAGGAGUGAAUCACUUAUGUGAUGUACUGAAGGAUUCACACUGUAAACUGGAGAGAUUGAGUCUGAAGUACUGUGGCAUUACAGAUGUUUCUUCUUCAACUCAGUCUUUGACAAACACAAAAGCACUACAGUUUUUAAAAGAGCUUGAUCUGAGUUACAGUAUGAUUGGAGACUCAGAGAAGCAGCUCAGUGACGUGCUACGAGACUCAAACUGUGAACUGAGCCUGGAGAAAGAACAUUGGUUCAGAGCUGGUGUAAGCUACAUUGGUGGAUUGUUAACACACUGGUCAAAAGCUCAGGAACCUGUGAAAUCAACAGAAAAGGAAAAGUCACCAUCAGAUGAGGAAUCCUC